GGUUGUGUAGUGUAGUGGUUAUCACUGUAGGUUUCCUCCAAAGCCUCUCCUUCGCAUCCAACGUCAUCACAUACUGACUCCCUUCGAGCCGGAUUUUGAUCACUGUCAAACGUCUUCCGGCAACCCCGGUUCGAGCCCGGGCACGACCU
RNAcentral lists this transfer RNA (149 nucleotides) under Colletotrichum higginsianum. RNAcentral describes it as "tRNA CH063_16372". Lineage: Eukaryota; Fungi; Ascomycota; Sordariomycetes; Glomerellales; Glomerellaceae. The record is from RNAcentral.